UGGGGAAUAUUGGACAAUGGGCGAAAGCCUGAUCCAGCCAUGCCGCGUGUGUGAAGAAGGUCUUCGGAUUGUAAAGCACUUUAAGUUGGGAGGAAGGGCAGUAAGCGAAUACCUUGCUGUUUUGACGUUACCGACAGAAUAAGCACCGGCUAACUCUGUGCCAGCAGCCGCGGUAAUACAGAGGGUGCAAGCGUUAAUCGGAAUUACUGGGCGUAAAGCGCGCGUAGGUGGUUCGUUAAGUUGAAUGUGAAAGCCCCGGGCUCAAACUGGGAACUGCAUCCAACACUGGCGAGCUAGAGUAGGGCAGAGGGUGGUGGAAUUUCCUGUGUAGCGGUGAAAUGCGUAGAUAUAGGAAGGAACACCAGUGGCGAAGGCGACCACCUGGGCUCAUACUGACACUGAGGUGCGAAAGCGUGGGGAGCAAACAGG
Molecule: ribosomal RNA, 429 nt
Filed under: Pseudomonadota bacterium
Lineage: Bacteria; Pseudomonadati; Pseudomonadota
Description: Proteobacteria bacterium partial 16S ribosomal RNA
Rfam family: Bacterial small subunit ribosomal RNA
Source: RNAcentral